RNAcentral lists this ribosomal RNA (380 nucleotides) under uncultured bacterium. RNAcentral's name for it is "partial 16S ribosomal RNA". It matches the Rfam family "Bacterial small subunit ribosomal RNA", at positions 338 to 735 of the family's 1533-position model. The record is from RNAcentral.
CCUACGGGAGGCAGCAGUGGGGAAUAUUGCACAAUGGGGGAAACCCUGAUGCAGCGACGCCGCGUGAGUGAGGAAGUAUCUCGGUAUGUAAAGCUCUAUCAGCAGGGAAGAAAAUGACGGUACCCGACUAAGAAGCCCCGGCUAACUACGUGCCAGCAACAGCGGCAAUACGUAGGCGGCAAGCGUUAUCCGGAUUUACUGGGUGUAAAGGGAGCGUAGACGGCUAAACAAGUCAGAAGUGAAAACCCAGGGCUCAACCUUGGGACUGCUUUUGAUACUGAGUAGCGAGAGAGCAGGAGAGGUAAGCGGAAUUGCUAGUGUAGCGGUGGAAUGCGUAGAUAUUAGAAGGAACACCAGUGGCGAAGGCGGCUUACUGGACU